AAAUGUCGGCUGCCAUCAGCGUCCUGUCCAAAGGGUAUUUAUUCACCGGUUUUUAUCAUCAGCAAGGAAGAUGGGAAUGCUCCGUUACACGGUUUCCACGGAGCGCUGAAUCGCCCCCAUCAGAACUACCUAUGAAGUAGACGGGAACAGGAAUAUCAGAAGGAGAUUUUUCUCAAACUGCCCACAAUCAAUUCGGAGGGAAAUACGAAAAUACAAAACAGAUCCGAAUAUCCCUUCAGUUUACCACAGCAGUAAGGCGGAGGAAGCGUGCCAUCUGUGUCAUUCAGUCAUUUUACCGGAAGAAACCCGAACCCGCCUUUACGUGAGGAAUUGUGUACAACGGAACAGUCAAUCGGCAAGGUGGAUAGAUUUUUUAAUAGGAGGCUUGAUAGGAGGACGGAAAUGAACCAGGGCAAGGACAGCCAGUGGAAAAAGUGGAUGUUAAGUCGUCCUCGCUGACCUCGUAACAUCCUCAUUGAUAUGAUCACUAGACCAACAUUUGAAAAGGGCGUUAGAUCGUAAAUUACGAGACAAUUAAUUUUCUAUAGCAACCUCAAACAGGACGAUUUAGUUGAUGAGAAAUCUACCGCAGGCCUUUCAUUAGUUAUUGCAAGAGUUAUUGCCUAAUUGAAGAAAAUGAACUUUGACAGAUAGGACAGGAGAUGUUGUUGUCAGGUUUUCGGUA
This is a long non-coding RNA of Armigeres subalbatus, 685 nucleotides long. RefSeq lists it as uncharacterized. The transcript is spliced from 3 exons. Lineage: Eukaryota; Metazoa; Arthropoda; Insecta; Diptera; Culicidae. The record is from RefSeq and is a predicted model, not a curated record.